AAAGAAAAUGUGUGUGUGUGUGUCUGUGUGUCUGUGUGUGUAUCUCUGUGUGUGUCUCCAUGAGUGUUUGUGUGUGUGUGUGUAUCUCUAUGUGUAUCUGCAUGUGUGUCUGUGUGUGCCUCUGUGUGUCUGUGUAUGUAUCUCUGUGUGUGUCUGUAUGUGUGUCUGUGUGUGUGUGUGUCUGUGUGUGUAUCUCUGUGUGUGUCUGCAUGUGUGUCUGUGUGUGUGUCUGUGUGUGUCUGUGUAUGUAUCUCUGUGUGUGUCUGUAUGUGUGUCUGUGUGUGUCUGUGUGUGUAUCUCUGUGUGUGCAUGUGUGCCUGUGUGUGUCUGUGUAUCUCUGUGUGUGUCUGUAUGUGUGUCUGUGUGUGUGUCUGUGUGUGUAUAUCUGUGUGUGUCUGUGUGUGUAUCUCUGUGUGUGCAUGUGUGUCUGUGUGUGCCUGUGUGUGUGUCUGUGUAUCUCUGUGUGUGUCUGUGUGUGUAUCUCUAUGUGUGUCUGCAUGUGUGUGUGUAUCUGUGUGUGUGUCUGUAUGUGUGCCUGUGUGUGUCUGUGUGUGUAUCUCUGUGUGUCUGUGUGUGUAUCUCUGUAUGUGUCUGCAUGUGUGUUUGUGUGUGCCUCUGUGUGUGCCUGUGUGUAUCUGUGUGUCUCUGCAUGUUUGUCUGUGUGUGCCUGUGUGUGUGCCUGUGUGUGUGUCUGUGUAUCUCUGUGUGUGUCUGUAUGUGUGUCUGUGUGUGUGUCUGUAUGUGUGUUUGUGUGUGCCUCUGUGUGUAUCUGUGUGUCUCUGCAUGUGUGUCUGUGUGUGCCUGUGUGUGUGUCUGUGUAUCUCUGUGUGUGUAUCUCUGUGUGUGUCUGUGUGUGUAUCUCUGUGUGUCUCUGCAUGUGUGUCUGUGUGUGCCUGUGUGUGUGUCUGUGUGUGUAUGCCUGUGUCUGUGUGUAUGUGUCUGUGUGUAUCUCCUUGCUGGUGCCCGGAUCCUACUCCUGUCUUUGACUUCUAGGACUUGGUUCCAUCAGUAAAAUCAUUGUAUGUUCUUUCAAAACUUGGGUAUAUUUUUCUCUCAUUAUAAAAACAGACACAGAC
RNAcentral lists this long non-coding RNA (1076 nucleotides) under Bos indicus x Bos taurus (hybrid cattle). RNAcentral's name for it is "lncRNA (ENSBIXG00005003823.1)". The record is from RNAcentral. Lineage: Eukaryota; Metazoa; Chordata; Mammalia; Artiodactyla; Bovidae.